AGAGUUUGAUCAUGGCUCAGGACGAACGCUGGCGGUGUGCCUAAUGCAUGCAAGUCGAGCGGGCUACGAUCUUCGGAUUGUAGCUUAGCGGCGAACGGGUGAGUUACACGUAGGUAAUCUACCCUUCAGAGGAGGACAACCUCAGGAAACUGAGGCUAAACCUUCAUACGUUCACUGGUAGGGAUACUGGUGAAGAAAGAGUUACCUUAGUGGUAGCUGCUGAAGGAUGAGCCUGCGGCCCAUCAGGUAGUUGGUGAGGUAACGGCUCACCAAGCCGAAGACGGGUAACCGGUCUGAGAGGAUGUCCGGUCACACUGGGACUGAGACACGGCCCAGACUCCUACGGGAGGCAGCAGCAGGGAAUCUUGGGCAAUGGGCGAAAGCCUGACCCAGCGACGCCGCGUGGAGGAAGAAGUCCUUCGGGGCGUAAACUCCUGGACUGGGGGACGAGGAAGGACGGUACCCCAGUAGAAAGGGACGGCUAACUACGUGCCAGCAGCCGCGGUAAAACGUAGGUCCCGAGCGUUGUUCGGAUUCACUGGGUGUAAAGGGCGCGUAGGUGGUUGUCUGUGUCUCAUGUGAAAACUCAGGGCUCAACUCUGAGAUUGCGUGGGAAACUAGGCAGCUAGAGGACGGUAGAGGGGAGUGGAAUUCCCGGUGUAGCGGUAAAAUGCGUAGAUAUCGGGAGGAACACCGGUGGCGAAGGCGGCUCUCUGGGCCGAUCCUGACGCUGAGGCGCGAAAGCUAGGGGAGCGAACCGGAUUAGAUACCCGGGUAGUCCUAGCCGUAAACGAUGGGUGCUAGGUGUUGGGGGGUAAAGACCCUUCAGUGCCGAAGCCAACGCGAUAAGCAUCCCACCUGGGGAGUACGGCCGCAAGGUUGAAACUCAAAUGAAUUGACGG
This 902-nucleotide ribosomal RNA is filed under the name uncultured bacterium. RNAcentral describes it as "bacterial SSU rRNA". It matches the Rfam family "Bacterial small subunit ribosomal RNA", at positions 8 to 916 of the family's 1533-position model. The record is from RNAcentral.